GCUGGCGGCAUGCCUAACACAUGCAAGUCGAACGAACCCUUCGGGGUGAGUGGCGCACGGGUGCGUAACGCGUGGGAACCUGCCUUUAGGUUUGGAAUAACAGUGAGAAAUCGCUGCUAAUACCAAAUAAUGUCUUCGGACCAAAGAUUUAUCGCCUUUAGAUGGGCCCGCGUUGGAUUAGCUAGUUGGUGGGGUAAAGGCUCACCAAGGCGACGAUCCAUAGCUGGUCUUAGAGGAUGAUCAGCCACACUGGGACUGAGACACGGCCCAGACUCCUACGGGAGGCAGCAGUGGGGAAUAUUGGACAAUGGGCGAAAGCCUGAUCCAGCAAUGCCGCGUGAGUGAUGAAGGCCUUAGGGUUGUAAAGCUCUUUUACCAGGGAUGAUAAUGACAGUACCUGGAGAAUAAGCUCCG
This 414-nucleotide ribosomal RNA is filed under the name uncultured Novosphingobium sp. RNAcentral describes it as "bacterial SSU rRNA". It matches the Rfam family "Bacterial small subunit ribosomal RNA", at positions 35 to 495 of the family's 1533-position model. The record is from RNAcentral. Lineage: Bacteria; Pseudomonadati; Pseudomonadota; Alphaproteobacteria; Sphingomonadales; Sphingomonadaceae.